This 162-nucleotide ribosomal RNA is filed under the name uncultured bacterium. Its description in RNAcentral is "partial 16S ribosomal RNA". It matches the Rfam family "Bacterial small subunit ribosomal RNA", at positions 355 to 509 of the family's 1533-position model. The record is from RNAcentral.
UGGGGAAUAUUGCGCAAUGGGCGAAAGCCUGACGCAGCGACGCCGCGUGAGGGAUGAAGGUCUUCGGAUCGUAAACCUCUGUCAGCAGGGAAGAACGGUCACUGUGCUAAUCAGCAGUGAAUUGACGGUACCUGCAAAUGAAGCACCGGCUAACUCCGUGCC